GGGGGCGUGGCCAGGGCCGCAGGGGAGGCGCGGGUCCUCGGAAUGCCCCGGCGGGCCCUGAACCCGGAUGGGUGCCGAGCCAGGGUCUGCCUGCCGACACGGGGCCUUUAAUUGCUCAUGGAAUAGGACGGUAGUCCUUCUCGCACGUUUGGGGACAGGGAGAUGGAUAUUACCGAAACAACCAGGGGUCACACAGGACCUCCAUCAGCCCUCCAUGCGGCCCUAGGUCUCAGAAAAGGAUGCAUCUCUUCUGCUUUUCCCCUUCGGGAGUUCCUGUGGAGAUGCUAAAGAAGAUGGUUGACAUGGAUCAAAGGCAGACAAAGCAUGAGGGAGAAACUGCUGGAAGGAGCCUAGCUGAUGGAAUAGAAACCCCCUGAGAAAUUCACUCCUGAAUGAUUAAAAAGCAUCAGCCUAGCCUUUAAA
Suricata suricatta (meerkat) is the source of this 423-nucleotide long non-coding RNA. RefSeq lists it as uncharacterized. The transcript is spliced from 2 exons. The record is from RefSeq and is a predicted model, not a curated record. NCBI's taxonomy places the organism in Eukaryota, Metazoa, Chordata, Mammalia, Carnivora, Herpestidae.